This 21-nucleotide non-coding RNA is filed under the name Caenorhabditis elegans. The record is from RNAcentral. Lineage: Eukaryota; Metazoa; Nematoda; Chromadorea; Rhabditida; Rhabditidae.
UGAUUUGCACAAUGUUUGCAU